This 271-nucleotide long non-coding RNA is filed under the name Junco hyemalis (dark-eyed junco). RNAcentral's name for it is "lncRNA (ENSJHYG00000006538.1)". The record is from RNAcentral. Lineage: Eukaryota; Metazoa; Chordata; Aves; Passeriformes; Passerellidae.
GCCGGUGCGUGUGUGGGCGGGGCUGAGGGGAGCGCGGAGCGGGGGCGGAGCGAGUGAGCUGCUCUGCCAUGGGAAUGCUGCGCGAAGCUGCGUUUCAGCGUUUCCAAGAUUAUUCGACUUUACGAGCCUAAAAAUGGGUGACCAAGGAAGAUGUGGCAGCCAGCAGUGACCAUCACCUGGAGGGAGCUGUGGCAGAGGUUAGCAGGUUUAUCAACAGAGACUUUUGGUGCAUCAUCAGAAACUGAGGAGAACAGGAUCCUGAAGAUUGGUA